UCUGUUCGUCCACACACAGUUCCAAUUUUAUUAUCUUGUUUACACUUUCUUGGCGACAUGAAGCCCACGGUACACAGUGUACACGGUACAUACAGUAUCCACGAUAGACACAGUGUACACCUGGUACACACAGUCUACACACCGCUGGGCGCUUCACCGAAGGCGACAAGAUUAGAUACUUCCACUCUCAUGUCCGCCAUUGCCGUCUGCUUCUCUAUAGUUUUCGCUAGAGUGAUCUCCCUUUCCUCACUGCCACUCUCACUCAUCAACACAUGUUAUUUACCAUUGUCAUUUACAAACAGCGAAGGGAUUAAACUAACCUUUAAACAUGGAGGCAUGGACUGAUCUGUGACAGCUGAGCACUCACCUGGCCUCUCGCUACGUCCGUCAAGCUUCAUUCUUCCCCAUUUCUUCUUCGCAGGGGCUGUGAUCGGGGAGGUAAACAUGUCCACCACUAUCCCAGGCUUCCGUUGAAGAACUUCAGAAUAGGGCCAGGUAUCGUGACGGCUGUAGACUUCGGUUUGUCAUAUCCACUGUCUGAAAGAAAUAGAAGCGAGUCGCUCCGUGUGUGUGUGUGCAAAGCCACAUGGGUUGGAGAUUAAGUCACGUGAGCAAGGGGUCAAUCAGAAAGCUCAGGUAAGGUCCCUACAUAACAGGACAAGACAGGAAACUACAGGAAUCGUCCAGACUCUAGAGUGUGGAGAGACACGUGAUGACCACAACAGCGACGUUGUGUGAAGGCUGCACGUGCCCUCACUCUACAGACUUGUGGGAUACAACAACACUUUGUCUACAGGACGAGUGGUCAGGAAACUACAACCGGACAAACAUCUUCACAGACACUAGCAUGACAGUCACGUGAUUACUGGCCCGUAACCACUCGUCCUCACUGAUGUCUGUAACUUAUUUAGAAACUGGAUAUUAGGCUACAGGAACUAGAGAACACAAUCAGCUACUGUUCAUGUUUAUCUUUCUCUCUGUAUGUGGAGGUGGUUGCCUACACACAUUUUUUGAAGACUCGGCUACACAGCUAAGAAUAAUCCGGGUACAUCACAGUCCUUGUCUUGUUCUCGUCGUUUUAUUACGGGUACAUUGUACUGAGCUGCUUGCUUUACACACACAAUUGUAUUUAGCUCUUAGCUGUUAAUACACAAGGUCCUUAGUUUAUUUUUGUUUAUUCCUUGUUACUCCUCGGGGAGCAUAGGACCACAACAAGACCUCGCCAGUCUUCUGUUUCUGGGAUGUUCUCUCAAUUUAUGCCUGGUGCGAAGACGGUCUUUAAGAACAUGUCUGACAUGAUACAAUGGCGACAUUAUCGCAAGUUUUGAGAGCUGACCCCAAGUGGAACACAACCAGCGCAGUCCUGAACGUUCCUUGUACUGACCACCAGCAGACUAUCAGUGGGUGAACUCUGAUUACAAGUCCUCUGUGGCUUGAAGACAAGUGCUAAAGACGAAGUAGAACACAAGGAAGAAGAGGGGCAGAGAAAGGACCAAGGAGCCAGGGGACAGUUUCAGUGUCCAGUCACCUGACACUGGGGCCGUGUAUACAGGUUAGUCUCACACUGUAAGUACUGCUUCAGUCACUUUGUAAAGUGAAGUUUUGUCUGAUAUUGUUCCUAAAAUACUGCCAAAGAUUAAUUCUGUAUAAGGACAAGACACGGGAAGUAAGUCUUAGUGAGGUAAGGUGUGAACUGAACAUCUAGAGUUUGCUGUGAAAUCCAAAAGUAAAUCCUCAUUAUUGAACUAUACAUAAGUAAUGAUGUAAGGAAACUGUCUUCUUAGCCCUAUAACAAUUACCAAUAGAAAUAAAGCAGAUAGCAACUGACAUAUUCGGCUACUGAAACUGGGUCCGUGGGUUACUGAGUGAAAUACUGUGAAGUGACUUACAGUUUCU
This is a long non-coding RNA of Pomacea canaliculata, 1896 nucleotides long. RefSeq lists it as uncharacterized. NCBI's taxonomy places the organism in Eukaryota, Metazoa, Mollusca, Gastropoda, Architaenioglossa, Ampullariidae. The transcript is spliced from 3 exons. The record is from RefSeq and is a predicted model, not a curated record.